RNAcentral lists this small nuclear RNA (107 nucleotides) under Salvator merianae (Argentine black and white tegu). The record is from RNAcentral. Lineage: Eukaryota; Metazoa; Chordata; Lepidosauria; Squamata; Teiidae.
GUGCUCGUGUCAGCAGCACAUAUACUAAAACUGGAACAAUACAGAGAAGAUCAGCAUGGCCCCUGCACAAGGAUGACAUGCAAAUUUGAGAAGCGUUCCAUAUUUUU